This 1892-nucleotide long non-coding RNA is filed under the name Homo sapiens (human). RNAcentral's name for it is "EPCAM divergent transcript". Lineage: Eukaryota; Metazoa; Chordata; Mammalia; Primates; Hominidae. The record is from RNAcentral.
ACAACCCUGGGAUUCCCUCGCCCUCAGAUUCCAGAAUCCAAUUUCUUGGAUUUCAGUGUUUUUAAGGAUUCCGUGAGUCAGGAGCUUGGCCAGGCUCAGCUGGGACACUCAUCUUUGCUUCACCUCAUGUCAGCUGCAGCAUCUUAGGAAUGCAAGACAGCCUCAUUCACAUCCGGCGGCGGGUGCUGGCUGUCCACUGGGUGCCUUCGCUCUUUUUCAAGUGGUUUCUCAUCCUCUGGGGUUUCACUGUCUCCAUGUGGCCUCCCUAGCAAGUUGCUUAGAUUUCUUUACGUGGAAACUGGCUUUCUAGAGGGUAAAAAUGGAAGCUGCAAGGACUCUUAUGGCCCAGAAGUCCCAGAACGUCACUUCUUCCACAAGUCAUAGGGCCAGCCAAGAUUCAAGGGGAAGGAAACAGACUCUGUCUCUUCAUAUUUCAAUGGGACAAAUUGUUGCAGCCACCUUUGGAAACAAUCUACUGCAAUACACUACAGCAGUGGACAUCUGGGCCCUUACCAGGUGCCAGACGCCGUACUAACAGCUUUAUACGGAUGAACUCAUUUAAUCCUCCCAAACUCCAUGAGGUUUUGCAGCCCUUGCCAUGAGUGGCCAGUUGCUGAUAGCAUUGCUGCUGCCUGUUGCUAUUCUGGGAUAGGAACUGAGGAUGUGCUGUGAUUACCCAGACCAGAAGGAAGCUCAGAAGGCACUGGUCCUCUCAGGUGGCACCCAGAUCCAGUGUGAGCCAUGGGGGAUGAAGGGUGGUUAAGUGAAAAGCUUUGGAGUGCUGACAGGUGGUCCCCCUGAUAUGCCAGGAAAUUACUUCCGGGCAAGAGAAACAAAGGAGAGUCCAUCUUCUAAUGUUACUGGCGCCAUACCAACAAGGUGUCAGCUAGAAACCUCUCUCUCUCUCUUGCAAAUUCUAGCCUGCAAAACCUGAGGACUGGCCUCAGGCUAGUCAGAAAUUUGCCUGAAAACAUCAUUCCUUGGGGUGGUGGGACUUCUGGGUAAGCCAGUGUGACUUGAAUUCUUGAUUUCUUAUACUCCCUUCUAACCAACCACCUGAAUGCUGAUCUCUACUAGCUGUCUGUGUGCCUUGCAUUUCAAUCAGCAGCCUUACAAAUGAUGAUGAGGAGAAGGAGGAGGAUGAGGACGAUAGCCAACAUUUACUGUUCUUUUGCUACUGUCCUAAGUACUUUACAAAUACCAGAUAAUUUUUUCUUCAUAACACUGUCAUUACUCCCAUUUUACAGAUGAAGAAAACAAAGCUUAAAUAGAUCACAUGAUUUGGUCAAGGUCACUCAUGUCACAGAGCCUGAAUCCAAAUCCAGUGAAGCCUCCAGAGCCUAGUUUCUACCCAUGACCCUGUGUUGCCUAUUGAUGGUACAGUGUAGGUUUUUUCCUUCUUCCUUUUUCUUUUUUUGAAAGUCUUUAUUGAAUUAUAAUUGGCAUACCAUUAACUGCAAAUAUUUGAAAAAUACAAUUUUAUGAGCUCUGACAUACAUACACCCAUAAAACCAUUGUUACAAUCAAGAUAAUGAAUAUGUCCGUCAUUCCCCAAAAGCUUCCCUGUGCCCCUUGGUAAUCCACCCCUCACUCCCCACCCCAUUCUGUUCCUAGGCAACCAAUCAUCUGUUUUCUGUCAGAUUAAUUUGCAUUUUCUAGAGUUUUAUAUAUGGAAGCAGACAGCAUGUACUCUUUUUUUGUCUGGCUUCUUUCACUCAGCAUAAUUAUUUUUAGGUUCAUCUAUAUUGGUGCACGUAUCAACAAUUCAUUCUUUUCUAUUCCUGAGUACUAUUCCAUUAUAUAGGUGUACUAAAUUUGUUUAUUCAACUCUUGAUGGACAUUGAGUUGUUUACAGUUUUUGGCUAUUACAAAUAAAGCUGCUAUGAACCUUC